RNAcentral lists this ribosomal RNA (367 nucleotides) under uncultured bacterium. RNAcentral describes it as "bacterial SSU rRNA". It matches the Rfam family "Bacterial small subunit ribosomal RNA", at positions 1 to 334 of the family's 1533-position model. The record is from RNAcentral.
CUAUGCGCCUUGCCAGCCCGCUCAGUCAGAGUUUGAUCCUGGCUCAGAAUCAACGCUGGCGGCGUGCCUAACACAUGCAAGUCGAACGCGACUGAGGACUUCGGUUUUCAGUUGAGUGGCGAACGGGUGAGUAACACGUGGGUGAUCUACCUCUGAGUGGGGGAUAACGUUCCGAAAGGAGCGCUAAUACCGCAUGACGUCCUGGGUUUGAAGACCUGGAAACCAAAGUCGGGGACCGCAAGGCCUGACGCUUGGAGAGGAGCCCGCGCCUGAUUAGCUAGUUGGUGGGGUAAUGGCCUACCAAGGCGACGAUCAGUAGCCGGCCUGAGAGGGCGGACGGCCACACUGGGACUGAGACACGGCCCAG